UGAGCAAUCUGCCCUUCUCAUCGGAAUAAGCGUUGGAAACGACGUCUAAUGCCGAAUACGACCUCCUUUCGCAUGAUCGGAGGUGGAAAGCUCCGGCGGAGAAGGAUGAGCUCGCGGCCUAUCAGCUAGUUGGUGUGGUAAUGGCCCACCAAGGCGACGACGGGUAGCCGGCCUGAGAGGGUGACCCGGCCACACUGGGACUGAGACACGGCCCAGACUCCUAGUGGGAG
RNAcentral lists this ribosomal RNA (230 nucleotides) under uncultured bacterium. RNAcentral's name for it is "partial 16S ribosomal RNA". It matches the Rfam family "Bacterial small subunit ribosomal RNA", at positions 118 to 347 of the family's 1533-position model. The record is from RNAcentral.